GAUGAAGAACGCAGCGAAAUGCGAUAAGUAAUGUGAAUUGCAGAAUUCAGUGAAUCAUCGAAUCUUUGAACGCACAUUGCGCCCGUCAGUAUUCUGGCGGGCAUGCCUGUUCGAGCGUCAUUACGCCCCUCAAGUCCCCUGUGGACUUGGUGUUGGGGAUCGGCGAGGCUGGUUUUCCAGCACAGCCGUCCCUUAAAUUAAUUGGCGGUCUCGCCGUGGCCCUCCUCUGCGCAGUAGUAAAACACUCGCAACAGGAGCCCGGCGCGGUCCACUGCCGUAAAACCCCCCAACUUUUUAAAGUUGACCUCGAAUCAGGUAGGACUACCCGCUGAACUUAAGCAUAUCAAUAAGCGGAGGA
RNAcentral lists this unclassified non-coding RNA (358 nucleotides) under soil metagenome. RNAcentral's name for it is "partial contains 5.8S ribosomal RNA, internal transcribed spacer 2, and large subunit ribosomal RNA". The stretch from base 1 to 120 matches the Rfam family "5.8S ribosomal RNA", at positions 35 to 154 of the family's 154-position model. The record is from RNAcentral.